UCUCGGUAGAUAAUUCCCCUUUUUUUCCCACUCCAAACUACGACGAUCUCAUAUUCAUAACGCGAAAAGACAGGAGUUAUAAAACACUGUCAUAAAGCAGCGACCAAUCUUAUUUGUCUUUUACGACCGCUCCUCGACUUCCAGUCCUCAGAUGAAUGAUCUUGACAAAGAUGACACUGGACUUAAAGGGAACCAAGGCCAAAGCUAAUAUUGGACAGGGGCGUCAACAGGUAAAACUCGUGAAUUUGAUCUCUGACGAUCCAACGGCAAAAGUACCUGUUGAUUCCUCUUCAACAGCACUAGUCAAUUUAUACACUUUCCCAGUGCUUAAUGUUUUGCUAGAUUACUUCUUGAGGUCUGCUGGGGUGGUGGACCUGUGUUUUGGUCGUUUCCGAUCAUGUUGACUACGCCGCUUUGGAUCUGUCGGACGGCUUUUCGCCAUCUUCAGUGCUUUUACCUAAUCCAAGUGAACUAUCCUGGACCAGUGAACCAGUGAACCAGCUGUGGAAAGAAAAUGAAACGAUUCUUCAAACAGGAUAAGUCUAUACAGGAUUUGGCGAACGUGAUUUGCUGGAAUGCCUAUUGUUCCUAGGCCCUUUUUUUUCCAAAAUGUCUAAAAUUAUAUUUUAAAUGAGUAGAAGCAAUCGAUUUUGGAAUGGUGAGGGCUCUACUAUCGGGUGGUGUCAUCCGAAGAUACUCGCAGGUCUGGUGGGAAGUGGAGUAUAACGCACCUUGAAAUAUGAAGAUUAAUAUAUCAUCUGGAUACUUUUUAGUUCCAGUCCUAAUCAUAAAAUGCUACUCUACUUUCACGAAGCAGGAACAACAUUUUUGAGGAGCCAGAGAAAAAGACAUCUGAAGAUAACAUGAUGACAUCAACAGAAAGAAGUCUACAUGCAGAAGGUCGAAAAAUUUGCUGGAAGGCUUGCUGGAAACUAUAAAAUAGUCAACUAAAAAAAUAGUUCAAAUCAUCAAAUGUUUUACAGAAGGAUAAACAAAUGAAUAUAAGAUAAGUGUGAAAG
This is a long non-coding RNA of Cimex lectularius (bed bug), 1019 nucleotides long. RefSeq lists it as uncharacterized. NCBI's taxonomy places the organism in Eukaryota, Metazoa, Arthropoda, Insecta, Hemiptera, Cimicidae. The transcript has 3 exons. The record is from RefSeq and is a predicted model, not a curated record.